AGUGGCCUAUGAUGUAUGAAUUGCCUACAUUGUCAGAUUUUCUAAUGAGUGACUGAUGUAGUCCUGAGGCCUUU
Mangifera indica (mango) is the source of this 74-nucleotide small nucleolar RNA. RefSeq annotates it as small nucleolar RNA SNORD34. The transcript has a single exon. NCBI's taxonomy places the organism in Eukaryota, Viridiplantae, Streptophyta, Magnoliopsida, Sapindales, Anacardiaceae. The record is from RefSeq and is a predicted model, not a curated record.